This 498-nucleotide ribosomal RNA is filed under the name Microcystis sp. 7JL33S1. RNAcentral's name for it is "bacterial SSU rRNA". It matches the Rfam family "Bacterial small subunit ribosomal RNA", at positions 199 to 715 of the family's 1533-position model. The record is from RNAcentral. Lineage: Bacteria; Bacillati; Cyanobacteriota; Cyanophyceae; Chroococcales; Microcystaceae. RNAcentral also lists the same sequence under 2 other names.
GGUGAAACCUAAUUGGCCUGAAGAAGAGCUUGCGUCUGAUUAGCUAGUUGGUGGGGUAAAGGCCUACCAAGGCGACGAUCAGUAGCUGGUCUGAGAGGAUGAGCAGCCACACUGGGACUGAGACACGGCCCAGACUCCUACGGGAGGCAGCAGUGGGGAAUUUUCCGCAAUGGGCGAAAGCCUGACGGAGCAACGCCGCGUGAGGGAGGAAGGUCUUUGGAUUGUAAACCUCUUUUCUCAAGGAAGAAGUUCUGACGGUACUUGAGGAAUCAGCCUCGGCUAACUCCGUGCCAGCAGCCGCGGUAAUACGGGGGAGGCAAGCGUUAUCCGGAAUUAUUGGGCGUAAAGCGUCCGCAGGUGGUCAGCCAAGUCUGCCGUCAAAUCAGGUUGCUUAACGACCUAAAGGCGGUGGAAACUGGCAGACUAGAGAGCAGUAGGGGUAGCAGGAAUUCCCAGUGUAGCGGUGAAAUGCGUAGAGAUUGGGAAGAACAUCGGUGG